This is a long non-coding RNA of Armigeres subalbatus, 420 nucleotides long. RefSeq lists it as uncharacterized. NCBI's taxonomy places the organism in Eukaryota, Metazoa, Arthropoda, Insecta, Diptera, Culicidae. The record is from RefSeq and is a predicted model, not a curated record. The transcript has 3 exons.
GACGUUUAUCUGUUCUGUUUUGAUUCUGCUUGUUAUUCUGAAUAGUGAAAUUGCUUUACGGACGGUGAAAUAGACUGCAAUGAGCUGACGAUGAUUAUUCAGAUUCUCAAUUUACUCAAAUAUUCCUAGAUGUGCGGGUGGAGUUAUGCAUGCUGUAGCAAAUAAGGGUAUUUGUGUAGCCUGAACGAGAGAUUCCGAGGCGCGACGAAGGGAUUGCUUGUAGUUUCGAGAUGUUUUUGAAGUCAAUCCCCCCUCCCCGCGGAGCUCGAAGCUACCAAACUAAAAUCCACACCAAAUAAAAUAAUGCCGUAUAUCGAGUUCAAAAAUAUUAUAAGAGAAAAAAAAGAAAAGCAAAUGAUAAAUGAAUGAAAGAUAAAUGGGAAAAAAGAUAAUAAUAGAAAUAAAAAAUGCUUAUUUACC